UCGACCAGCUAUCACAUCUCAGUAUACUUCAACGUAAAGAUCUAAUCUUAAAAAAACAAAAUGUCUGACUCUGAAGAAGAUCAAACCGCUCUGGUGUGCGACAACGGGUCAGGAUUAGUGAAAUCUGGAUUUGCUGGAGAUGACGCACCUCGUGCUGUCUUCCCAUCUAUCGUUGGACGACCAAGACAUCAGGGAGUCAUGGUCGGUAUGGGUCAAAAAGACAGCUAUGUUGGAGACGAAGCACAAAGCAAGCGAGGUAUUCUUACCUUGAAAUACCCCAUUGAGCACGGUAUUAUCAAAGAUCUGGCAUCACACUUUCUACAACGAGCUACGAGUUGCACCAGAAGAACACCCAACUUUGCUCACAGAAGCUCCACUUAACCCCAAAGCUAACCGAGAAAAGAUGACACAGAUCAUGUUCGAAACGUUUAACGUCCCAGCCAUGUACGUCGCCAUCCAAGCUGUACUUUCCCUGUAUGCAUCAGGACGUACAACAGGUAUCGUGUUGGAUUCUGGUGAUGGUGUUUCACACAAUGUUCCAAUCUACGAGGGCUACGCUCUCCCUCACGCCAUUGCUCGAUUGGAUUUAGCCGGUCGAGAUCUUACUGAUUAUUUGAUGAAAAUUCUCACUGAGAGAGGAUACUCCUUUGUAACAACAGCUGAACGCGAAAUCGUCCGAGAUAUCAAAGAGAAGCUCUGUUACGUUGCGCUUGACUUCGAGCAAGAAAUGGCCACUGCUGCUUCUUCGACUUCGUUGGAAAAAAGUUAUGAAUUACCCGACGGUCAAGUUAUCACCAUUGGCAAUGAAAGAUUCAGAUGUCCAGAAACACUCUUCCAACCUUCGUUUAUCGGUAUGGAAUCGGCUGGAAUCCACGAGACAACCUACAACUCCAUCAUGAAGUGCGACAUUGACAUCCGAAAGGAUCUUUACGCCAACAACGUCCUCUCCGGAGGUACAACCAUGUACCCUGGUAUCGCUGACAGAAUGCAGAAGGAGAUCACUGCUCUCGCUCCCAGCACCAUGAAGAUCAAGAUCAUUGCUCCUCCAGAGAGGAAAUACUCCGUCUGGAUCGGAGGAUCCAUCCUCGCUUCACUUUCCACCUUCCAACAGAUGUGGAUCACUAAACAAGAAUACGACGAAGCUGGCCCUUCAAUCGUACACAGAAAAUGUUUCUAAUUAUUCUAUACUGGAAACAAUGAACACAAUUUAUUUAUUUUUGAGGUCAUUUUUUUGUUUUGUUACUGCAAAAUUAUUUUGUAGCAAAUUGACAAAUAAAUAAACCUAAGUAUCUUCAUAUCUGAAAAACUUA
Ciona intestinalis (vase tunicate) is the source of this 1310-nucleotide non-coding RNA. Lineage: Eukaryota; Metazoa; Chordata; Ascidiacea; Phlebobranchia; Cionidae. The record is from RefSeq and is a predicted model, not a curated record.